Molecule: ribosomal RNA, 256 nt
Filed under: Affinundibacterium seohonense
Lineage: Bacteria; Pseudomonadati; Pseudomonadota; Betaproteobacteria; Burkholderiales; Oxalobacteraceae
Description: partial 23S ribosomal RNA
Rfam family: Bacterial large subunit ribosomal RNA
Source: RNAcentral
CGGAGUGGACGAACCUCUGGUGUAUCGGUUGUCACGCCAGUGGCAUUGCCGAGUAGCUAUGUUCGGAAGAGAUAACCGCUGAAAGCAUCUAAGCGGGAAACUCGCCUUAAGAUGAGACUUCCCAGAGACUUGAUCUCUUUAAAGGGUCGUUCGAGACCAGGACGUUGAUAGGCUGGGUGUGGAAGUGCAGUAAUGCAUUAAGCUAACCAGUACUAAUUGCCCGUAAGGCUUGUCCCUAUAACUUUGGUCAGUUAUA